UUUAGCUUGCUAAAUCCGGUGCUGACGAGCGGCGAACGGGUGAGUAACACGUAGGAAUCUACCCAGUAGCGGGGGAUAGCCCAGGGAAACUUGGAUUAAUACCGCAUACACCCUAAGGGGAAAAGAAGGCCACUCUUUGAAGCUUUCACUAUUGGAUGAGCCUGCGUAAGAUUAGCUUGUUGGUGGGGUAAAGGCCUACCAAGGCAACGAUCUUUAGCUGGUCUGAGAGGACGAUCAGCCACAUUGGGACUGAGACACGGCCCAGACUUCUACGGAAGGCAGCAGUUAGGAAUAUUGGACAAUGGGGGCAACCCUGAUCCAGCUAUACCGCGUGUGUGAAGAAGGCCCUAGGGUUGUAAAGCACUUUAAGCAGGGAAGAAGCGUAUUAAGUUAAUACCUUAAUAUGUUGACGUUACCUGAAGAAUAAGGACCGGCUAACUCCGUGCCAGCAGCCGCGGUAAUACGGAGGGUCCAAGCGUUAAUCGGAAUUACUGGGCGUAAAGCGCGCGUAGGCGGUUUAAUAAGUUGUAUGUGAAAGCCCCGGGCUCAACCUAGGAACUGCAUACAAAACUAU
Molecule: ribosomal RNA, 574 nt
Filed under: uncultured Gammaproteobacteria bacterium
Lineage: Bacteria; Pseudomonadati; Pseudomonadota; Gammaproteobacteria
Description: bacterial SSU rRNA
Rfam family: Bacterial small subunit ribosomal RNA
Source: RNAcentral